GGGAUCUGUUAAAGUGUAUGAGUUGUUACUGUUGAUCAUGUCAUUUUUGCAGCACGGUAUUGCUGCAUCAGAUAUCUCUAGCGACUCCUCCCUUGUCUGCCGCCAGGUGGCGCUGUGCGCGUGCGCGUUCGCUGAGGACGUUUCCAUGGAGUCUUUCAGAAGCACGAGGCGCCGAGAAAAGACUAGUGUGCGCGGAAUGACGUAAUGUGAUGGACUGAAGCCGCUGUAGCGCCGGUUCUUCGUGCACUGCCUGCAUCUGCUGCUCCGCAUCCCUCAGCGGACACUCUGCACUCUUGUUUAGGACCCAUUCUGGAGCAAAAAUACCUUCUUUGGAUUUGUGAUUUUUGAGGAUUUUACAAGACCGCGAUGUAAAGCUGCAAGAACAUGCCACUGUGUCAUCUGGAAGUUUUCAAAUCAUCAGGAAGAUGAAUACAGAAAUGUGUAAUUAUGAAGUUGGGGUAACCUUCCCCCCUUCUCGAUGCCUGUCACAGAGCAGCCAUGCUGGGCUUCAUCUGAAGGGAUGCACCAUGGUGUGAGCACACGUCUGUCCUACCCCAGACUCAAUGAAUCGCACCAAUGAAUGGACAUUACUGUGGCAAAGGGAAUUAGCUUGCUUGCAUAGGGACUUUGGAUUUGGGAAUACUGGAACCGGUCAGAGAGCGCUGGAUUUUCUUUUGAAGAAGUGCAGCAGAUUCUUCAAGGAGUGUUUUUGGAAGAUGUCUGAGAAGGGAGCUGAGGCGUCUACAACUCAGCCCCAAAAGCGGAAGCAGGUGAUUCACGGUCUGGAAGAUCAGAAACAGGCUUAAUUGCUUAACAGGCAUCAGCACUGGGUUGAUAGCAGCAUCUCUGUGCUCUGGGUCCCAUUCACUUCCUCCAGGCUCUGAUUGGCUCUGAGGAUGCUGGCUUGACUGAGGCCUGACGUCUGGAUCCGCAGGGGCUCAUUGGAGAGAGUUAGAGGCGUAGCAGCACGGCGGGAAUGCAAUUAAGAGUUUUUUUUUUUUAUGUGAUUUUU
This 1012-nucleotide long non-coding RNA is filed under the name Carassius auratus (goldfish). Its description in RNAcentral is "lncRNA (ENSCARG00000048749.1)". Lineage: Eukaryota; Metazoa; Chordata; Actinopteri; Cypriniformes; Cyprinidae. The record is from RNAcentral.